This 497-nucleotide ribosomal RNA is filed under the name uncultured bacterium. Its description in RNAcentral is "partial 16S ribosomal RNA". It matches the Rfam family "Bacterial small subunit ribosomal RNA", at positions 28 to 507 of the family's 1533-position model. The record is from RNAcentral.
GAUGAACGCUGGCGGCGUGCCUAAUACAUGCAAGUCGAGCGAACAGACGAGGAGCUUGCUCCUCUGACGUUAGCGGCGGACGGGUGAGUAACACGUGGAUAACCUACCUAUAAGACUGGGAUCACUACGGGAAACCGGAGCUAAUACCGGAUAAUCUAUUGAACCGUAUGGUUCAAUAGUGAAAGACGGCUUUGCUGUCACUGAUAGAUGGAUCCCCGCCGCAUUAGCUAGUUGGUAAGGUAACGGCUUACCAAGGCAACGAUGCGUAGCCGACCUGAGAGGGUGAUCGGCCACACUGGAACUGAGACACGGUCCAGACUCCUACGGGAGGCAGCAGUAGGGAAUCUUCCGCAAUGGGCGAAAGCCUGACGGAGCAACGCCGCGUGAGUGAUGAAGGUCUUCGGAUCGUAAAACUCUGUUAUUAGGGAAGAACAAAUGUGUAAGUAACUGUGCACGUCUUGACGGUACCUAAUCAGAAAGCCACGGCUAACUACGUG